CAGCUAAGGCUCCAAAGUGCGUGUUAAGUGGAAAAGGAUGUGGGGAUUCUAAGACAACUAGGACGUUGGCUUAGAAGCAGCCAUUCAUUGAAAGAGUGCGUAAUAGCUCACUAGUCGAGAGUCCCUGCGCCGAAAAUGUCCGGGGCUGAAACACGACACCGAAGCUUAGGAAUGUGUAAACAUUGGUAGAGGAGCAUUGCUGGCGGGAUGAAGCCAUACCGUAAGGAGUGGUGGACUGCCAGGAAGAGAGAAUGCCGGAAUGAGUAGCGAGAUGAAGGUGAGAAUCCUUCAGGCCGAAUAUCUAAGGUUUCCAGAGUAAAGCUGAUCUGCUCUGGGUAAGUCGGGACCUAAGGCGAGGUCGAAAGACGUAGUCGAUGGAUAACAGGUUGAAAUUCCUGUACCGCAUAUAAACAGAACUGUGGGGACACAGACAGGGAAUGGAAUCCGGGAAUGGAUAUCCCGGUGCAAGCGAGGUAGGAGUGCUGUUGGCAAAUCCGCAGCACGAUCUGAAGACGUGACGCGUACCGAACAUAAGUAGGGAAGUCCAGGCCCCUGGCUGUCAAGAAAAGCCGCUAUUGUUUUAUAUGUGCCCGUACCGCAAACCGACACAGGUGGAUGAGGAGAGAAUCCUAAGGCCGACGGGAGAAGCAUUGUUAAGGAACUCGGCAAAAUGACUCCGUAACUUCGGGAGAAGGAGUGCCAGCGAGAGCUGGCCGCAGAGAAUUGGCCCAAGCAACUGUUUAGCAAAAACACAGGUCUAUGCAAAACCGAAAGGUGAGGUAUAUGGGCUGACGCCUGCCCGGUGCUGGAAGGUUAAGGGGAGAGGUUAGCCGUAAGGCGAAGCUUUGAACUUAAGCCCCAGUAAACGGCGGCCGUAACUAUAACGGUCCUAAGGUAGCGAAAUUCCUUGUCGGGUAAGUUCCGACCCGCACGAAAGGCGUAAUGAUUUGAGCGCUGUCUCGACAAUGCACCCGGUGAAAUUGAAAUACCAGUGAAGAUGCUGGUUACCUGCGCCAGGACGGAAAGACCCCAUGGAGCUUUACUCCAGCUUGAUACUGGGAUUCGGUAUUGCAUGUACAGGAUAGGUGGGAGGCUUUGAAGCAUGGACGCCAGUCUAUGUGGAGCCGCUGUUGGGAUGACGGUAUCGAUAAGCUUGAU
RNAcentral lists this ribosomal RNA (1158 nucleotides) under human gut metagenome. Its description in RNAcentral is "bacterial LSU rRNA". It matches the Rfam family "Bacterial large subunit ribosomal RNA", at positions 1036 to 2219 of the family's 2925-position model. The record is from RNAcentral.